This 468-nucleotide ribosomal RNA is filed under the name uncultured bacterium. RNAcentral describes it as "partial 16S ribosomal RNA". It matches the Rfam family "Bacterial small subunit ribosomal RNA", at positions 28 to 507 of the family's 1533-position model. The record is from RNAcentral.
GACGAACGCUGGCGGCGUGCUUAACACAUGCAAGUCGAACGGAAAGGCCCGGCUUUUGUUGCUUUCUCGUUUGGCGAACAGGUGUGUAUCACAUGAGUAUCCUGUCCUUGUCUUUGUGAUAACUUUUGGAAACUCGGGCUAAUAUCCCAGAUGAUCUCCUGCAGCGCGUUGUUGAUUAGUAAGAUUCGGCGUUUGUGGAUGGAAUGGCGGCUUAUCAGCUUCUUUGUGUGGUAGUGGCUUUCCAAGGUUUUGACGGGUAGCCGGCUUGGGAGGGUGACCGGCCUCAUUGGGACUGAGAUACGGACCAGAAUGCAACCGGAGGCAACAGUGGGGAAUAUUGCACAAUGGGCGGAAGCCUGAUGCAGAAAUGCCGCGUGCGGAAUGCUGGGCUUCGGGUUGUAAACCGAUUUGGCCUGUGCCGAAGAGUGAGUGACGGUAAUGGGUAAAGAAGCCACGGCUAACUACGUG